CUCAGGCUUUGGAAGCACACAAAAGAAAGCCAAUCUCACAGUGGAUUCUUCUACUUUCGAGUGUUGGAGCAAUGCUUGUGGCGUUUCCUGCCUCAAGUCUACUUUCACGUGUUUAUUAUGCAAAUGGGGGUACAAGCAAGUGGAUUAUUUCAUGGGUGGCAGUUGCUGGGUGGCCUUUAACUGCUUUAAUUUUAUUGCCCACUUACUUCUUUUGUAAAACAUUUCCAACUCCUCUGACCCUAAAACUCAUUCUCUCUUAUA
RNAcentral lists this unclassified non-coding RNA (261 nucleotides) under Hevea brasiliensis (rubber tree). Lineage: Eukaryota; Viridiplantae; Streptophyta; Magnoliopsida; Malpighiales; Euphorbiaceae. The record is from RNAcentral.